RNAcentral lists this transfer RNA (64 nucleotides) under Pityophthorus pubescens. Its description in RNAcentral is "tRNA-His". The record is from RNAcentral. Lineage: Eukaryota; Metazoa; Arthropoda; Insecta; Coleoptera; Curculionidae.
GCUAGAAUAGUUUAUUUUAAAAUAUUGAUUUGUGGGGUCAAGGAAAUAAUUUUUAUUUUUAGCA